AUACGGAGGGUGCAAGCGUUACUCGGAAUCACAGGGCGUAAAGCGCGCGCAGGCGGCUUGAUAAGUUGGAUGUGAAAGCCUACGGCUCAACCGUAGAACUGCAUCCAAAACUGUCAGUCUAGAGUGUGGGAGAGGAAGAUGGAAUUAGUUGUGUAGGGGUAAAAUCCGUAGAGAUAACUAGGAAUACCAAAAGCGAAGGCAAUCUUCUGGAACACUACUGACGCUGAGGCGCGAAGGCGUGGGGAGCAAACAGGAUUAGAAACCCCGGUAGUCC
Molecule: ribosomal RNA, 274 nt
Filed under: uncultured bacterium
Lineage: Bacteria
Description: partial 16S ribosomal RNA
Rfam family: Bacterial small subunit ribosomal RNA
Source: RNAcentral